AUGAAAGCCAACACAGACAGUAGACUUUGUUUUCAAAUUCACAGCAAAAUGAAAUUUUUUUUGGGAAAUUUUUGUGUGAAAAUUAAAUAAUAUUCCAGCAUGGCGGGCAAGAGCCAUUGUGCCGCUGUACUCAAUACUCAACCGAUGCUGCACAUCAAUCGCGAUGAUUAUGUGGACGUCUAUCGCGAUGUCUAUAAUACCGGAUACUUUUCGAUUUGGUGCACAAUACUCGCCUUCACAGCCUUUGUGCUUUUUCACACCUUACGUUAAAGAAUAUUACGCCAUGCUGAUGGUUAAACUUAUUUCCGGUUUUUUUGUUUCUGCCUUGGAAAAGAAUUAAACACAUCACGGAAGUUGAUUUAAUAUUUAUCUUUUAAACAGCAAUCAAAGAAUGGAACUAUAAAAGACAUCUUCAAGCUAAACAUUUCAAUUGAAACUUAAUUUAUUUCUCAAGCACCAAAUCAUAGAAUGAAAUUUUAAAAAUUUUAUUUUUUUUCAAUUUUAAAAUACUAUCAAAAUCUUUGUAUAAUAUUGUAAUGUUAUUCAAAUUAUUAAAAAGUAAAAUGUAAAAGCCGUAGAUUUUUAUACCAGCUUUAA
Drosophila albomicans is the source of this 597-nucleotide long non-coding RNA. RefSeq lists it as uncharacterized. The transcript is spliced from 2 exons. NCBI's taxonomy places the organism in Eukaryota, Metazoa, Arthropoda, Insecta, Diptera, Drosophilidae. The record is from RefSeq and is a predicted model, not a curated record.